RNAcentral lists this ribosomal RNA (445 nucleotides) under uncultured bacterium. RNAcentral's name for it is "partial 16S ribosomal RNA". It matches the Rfam family "Bacterial small subunit ribosomal RNA", at positions 354 to 796 of the family's 1533-position model. The record is from RNAcentral.
GGGAGGAAUAUUGGUCAAUGGGCGGGAGCCUGAACCAGCCAAGUCGCGUGAAGGAAGAAGGAUCUAUGGUUCGUAAACUUCUUUUGCAGGGGAAUAAAGUGCAGGACGUGUCCUGUUUUGUAUGUACUGUACGAAUAAGGAUCGGCUAACUCCGUGCCAGCAGCCGCGGUAAUACGGAGGAUCCGAGCGUUAUCCGGAUUUAUUGGGUUUUAAGGGUGCGUAGGUGGUUUGAUAAGUCAGCGGUGAAAGUUUGCAGCUUAACUGUAAAAAUGCCGUUGAAACUGUCGGACUUGAGUGUAAAUGAAGUAGGCGGAAUGCGUGGUGUAGCGGUGAAAUGCAUAGAUAUCACGCAGAACUCCGAUUGCGAAGGCAGCUUACUAAGCUACAACUGACACUGAAGCACGAAAGCGUGGGGAUCAAACAGGAUUAGAUACCCCUGUAGUCC